GGGGAAUAUUGCACAAUGGAGGGAACUCUGAUGCAGCGACGCCGCGUGAACGAAGAAGGCUUUCGAGUCGUAAAGUUCUUUUAUAUGGGAAGAUAAUGACGGUACCAUAAGAAAAAGCCCCGGCUAACUACGUGCCAGCAGCCGCGGUAAUACGUAGGGGGCUAGCGUUGUCCGGAAUCACUGGGCGUAAAGGGUUCGCAGGCGGAAAUGCAAGUCAGAUGUAAAAGGCAGUAGCUUAACUACUGUAAGCAUUUGAAACUGCAUAUCUUGAGAAGAGUAGAGGUAAGUGGAAUUUUUAGUGUAGCGGUGAAAUGCGUAGAUAUUAAAAAGAAUACCGGCGGCGAAGGCGACUUACUGGGCUCAUUCUGACGCUGAGGAACGAAAGCGUGGGUAGCAAACAGGAUUAGAUACCCUGGUAGUCCACGCUGUAAACGAUGAGUGCUAGGUGUCGGCGAAUGUCGGUGCCGCAGUUAACACAAUAAGCACUCCGCCUGGGGAGUACGUGCGCAAGCAUG
This 515-nucleotide ribosomal RNA is filed under the name uncultured bacterium. Its description in RNAcentral is "bacterial SSU rRNA". It matches the Rfam family "Bacterial small subunit ribosomal RNA", at positions 356 to 896 of the family's 1533-position model. The record is from RNAcentral.